Molecule: unclassified non-coding RNA, 198 nt
Filed under: uncultured Basidiomycota
Lineage: Eukaryota; Fungi; Basidiomycota
Also listed under: 1 other name
Description: sequence contains ITS2
Source: RNAcentral
AACUCUCAACCCCCCUGUUUUGUAAUGAGAUAGGCGUGGGCUUGGAUUAUGGCUGCCUGUCGGCGUAAAGUCGGCUCAGCUGAAAUACACGAGCAACCCAUUUGAAAUAGACGGUUUGACUCGGCGUAAUAAUUAUUUCGCUGAGGACGUCUUCUUUAAAGUCAGUGGUGCUUCUAAUGCGUAUCAUACACUUUUAGC